AGUGAACGCUGGCGGUAGGCCUAACACAUGCAAGUCGAACGGCAGCACAGUAAGAGCUUGCUCUUACGGGUGGCGAGUGGCGGACGGGUGAGGUAUACAUCGGAAUCUACUUUUUCGUGGGGGAUAACGUAGGGAAACUUACGCUAAUACCGCAUACGACCUACGGGUGAAAGCAGGGGAUCUUCGGACCUUGCGCGAUUGAAUGAGCCGAUGUCGGAUUAGCUAGUUGGCGGGGUAAAGGCCCACCAAGGCGACGAUCCGUAGCUGGUCUGAGAGGAUGAUCAGCCACACUGGAACUGAGACACGGUCCAGACUACUACGGGAGGCAGCAGUGGGGAAUAUUGGACAAUGGGCGCAAGCCUGAUCCAGCCAUACCGCGUGGGUGAAGAAGGCCUUCGGGUUGUAAAGUCCUUUUGUUGGGAAAGAAAAGCAGCAGGUUAAUACCCCGCUGUUCUGACGGUACCCAAAGAAUAAGCACCGGCUAACUUCGUG
RNAcentral lists this ribosomal RNA (492 nucleotides) under uncultured bacterium. RNAcentral's name for it is "partial 16S ribosomal RNA". It matches the Rfam family "Bacterial small subunit ribosomal RNA", at positions 29 to 507 of the family's 1533-position model. The record is from RNAcentral.